Non-coding RNA from Meleagris gallopavo (turkey), 1046 nucleotides. Lineage: Eukaryota; Metazoa; Chordata; Aves; Galliformes; Phasianidae. The record is from RefSeq and is a predicted model, not a curated record.
GAAGAGCUUUGCAAGACCAGCAAGAAAACUGUUAAGCCUCACCUUUGCUUGGCAUGGUUAAGAGAAAUUUAUUUCUCUGCUGUGAUAUUUGUUUGGGCCACAUAGUGCUUUUUAAGCAUCGCCAUCAAAUCUUCUUAGUUUGAAGCACCUGAGUCUUGAGGGAAACAUCAGUCUUCUAGGACUACUACUGCCUCUCUUCUGAACAGAGUUUGGAAAAUGGAUUUUUUUUUUUCAUGAAAAUCUUCAGUAGUGUCAAAAUGAAAAUACUGCAGCAGCCUUUAAGCAUAAACUUUGGCCUCAUCUUCUUUUCAGUAAAUUGAAACUAUCUUCCUACGCACUAUUGCCUGUACAUUACUUCUUGAUCUUGAUGCUGUUGUCUUAGGUUGGACAUCUGUUUAGUCCCAAACAAGUAUCCCAGUCACCUGAUUCCAUACUCUCUCCACAUAAGGAUUUCUUUUGAUUCCAGACCACUAAAAGAAAAUGCUAUCUUUUUAUAGGACUGGACCAUCUCUGCAAUGACUGAGUGAUCCUCUUUCCAGAGGACAUGUCUGAAGAUGUCUCUACAAUGAAUGUCUCCCUGUAAUGUUCCCAAGAAGAGAAUUGUACGCUACUUUGACACUCAGUUUCUAGCUUAGAGUCGCAGGAGAAAGGCUGAAAGAUCCAUCUCCCUCUUGAAGCUGGAUGGAUGAACUGAAGCAGCAGACAGAGCCUGGAGGGAGAAAGGAAAGAACUGGAAUAGCUGUGAGUCAGGUUUCCAAUGAGUCAAUGGAUGCUGACUGCUGAGAUAAUCCUCCAAGCUACAUGUUCACUCUGGAACCUAGAACUGCAUCCAAGCAGGACAUUUCCAGACAGCUUCCUGGCAUUUACCACCACCACUACUAAAUAGCCCAAGACCAUCCUGGAAUGAAUGAGGAUGUGGUUUUCUAAACCCUGGCCACAGCAACCUCUUCCAGUAUUGUAUUUCUUGUGUUUCUGAAGUAUCACCUAAAGGAAGAUUGGCUUCAAAGAAUGCCCUGACUGAGAAGAGAAAAAAAAAUAAUAAUGAA